AAAAAUUACAAUCUCACAUAUAGGUGAUACAACAUAGUGCUGUAAUCCAUUAAGAGCCCUUUCUUAAUUUCAUUUGAAUACCUGUUGGGCCACAACAUAAGAUCAUAAAAAAUCUUGCUACAGUAAUGUGCAAUUCCUCAAAAACAUCCCAAAAGAGCUUGGAGUUCCUGCGCUUCCAUAUAUUCCAAAGGACCGUGAUAAGCACAGUAGAGUGAAUCUUGUUGAAAUAAGUUUCUUCUCAGAGAUCUUCAACUGAAUCAGCAUUGAGUGGAUGAAAACUUUGUAGUUUAGACCACGACAAGGCUAAGGAGGAGGAGCUGAUUAACAUAUGAGAAAUAUUCUCUAAUUCAUCACAAAAAGACAAUGGUUCGACUGGUAUAUGAGCACUAUCCACUCUCACUGUCUAUUACCACUACCGAACAAAUUGAGUAGCAAUAUUACUAUUAGCAGCAAUAGGGAGUAUAUAUCAGGGUCAAUCAGCAGCAUACAUAUAUUAGUAACGGCAUAUGAAGCAAUCGGCAAUAUACAUAUAUCGAUAGCAGCAUAUGAAGCAAUGAGCCACACCUCGAUUCUCUCUGUUAUGUUCUCAUCACAACCUGG
RNAcentral lists this long non-coding RNA (600 nucleotides) under Hordeum vulgare. Its description in RNAcentral is "long non-coding RNA (HVUL_LNC008659)". Lineage: Eukaryota; Viridiplantae; Streptophyta; Magnoliopsida; Poales; Poaceae. The record is from RNAcentral.